GACGAACGCUGGCGGCGUGCUUAACACAUGCAAGUCGAACGAAAAGAGGGAAAGAGCUUGCUCUUUCCGGAAUUGAGUGGCAAACGGGUGAGUAACACGUAAACAACCUGCCUUCAGGAUGGGGACAACAGACGGAAACGACUGCUAAUACCGAAUAAGUUCCAAGAGCCGCAUGGCCCAUGGAAGAAAAGGUGGCCUCUACCUGUAAGCUAUCGCCUGAAGAGGGGUUUGCGUCUGAUUAGCUGGUUGGAGGGGUAACGGCCCACCAAGGCGACGAUCAGUAGCCGGUCUGAGAGGAUGAAAGGCCACACUGGAACUGAGACACGGUCCAGACUCCUACGGGAGGCAGCAGUGGGGAAUCUUCCGCAAUGGGCGAAAGCCUGACGGAGCAACGCCGCGUGAGUGAUGACGGCCUUCGGGUUGUAAAACUCUGCGAUCCGGGACGAAAAGGCAGAGUGCGAAGAACAAACUGCAUUGACGGUACCGGAAAAGCAAGCCACGGCUAACUACGUG
Molecule: ribosomal RNA, 513 nt
Filed under: uncultured bacterium
Lineage: Bacteria
Description: partial 16S ribosomal RNA
Rfam family: Bacterial small subunit ribosomal RNA
Source: RNAcentral